UUCUGAAGUCAUGAUUUCAACAUGAGGGUUUAAGAGGUAAAUUUUUUUCAUGGCAGCCUCUGUGUUGAGAAAGUAGAUGCGUUUUAGUUUUCAAGAAUAAUAAUUGAGUUAUUGAAUAACGUUCUAAUUUAUUCUUUUCCACAGGUUCAUGAGGAGAAUGUCAUUCAUCACCGCUGAUUGCUCUACUUACUAUUCAAAAUAGAGAAAAGAAACAAAAAUGACCAACUAGUUUUCUUAUUUAUGACUAUGUGGCUGGAAUAGGAUCUAAAAGUUAAACGCUUAGUAGGAUUAAUAGUGUUUGUAUGACAAAUAUUUAACUUGUACAUAAUAUCAUCAAUGUCAUGAAUAAGCUGUGACAGAUGAUGUCUCUAUCACAAAUAAUGAAAGUAACAAUAUGUUACGUUUCUACCCACCAUUGAGAUGUUAAAUGUGCAAGUGAUUGGGUUUGCUUAGAAGUCUACAAUACAGUACAGUAACCAAGCCCUACUUUUCCUCUGGAGCCCAGGUGUGGCAAUAAUCUAUAUUCUAACAGUAAAACCAUUAAUCAAGGGGGUUAGUGGGGGCAAAAAUAUAAUGUCCUAGGUUAACCUUCACAAAUAGCUUUAUAUAUACGCAUUUAUCAUUUUAGGAAGAAGUAACACUGUAUAUCUACAGUGAGGGAAAAAAAGGAUUUGAUCCUCUGCUGAUUUUGAACGUAUGUCCACUGACAAAGAUAUGAUCAAUCUAUAAUUUU
Pelobates cultripes (western spadefoot toad) is the source of this 733-nucleotide non-coding RNA. Lineage: Eukaryota; Metazoa; Chordata; Amphibia; Anura; Pelobatidae. The record is from the annotation of a GenBank genome assembly.